AGCCCGCUUGGAACUCCCGCAGUGCACAGACACGGAUCUCUGGGUUCCUGGCUACUAACUGCAUGCACGGCCCCCUGGCCAGACCCGAGGUUCCAAAGACUGGGCAAGGAAGCUCCUAGCGCGGCACGAAGUUGUGCCCGUUACCCCUCUGGGCCCCAGGCCGGCGGGCGCAGAAAUUAACUCGGCCAGAAAAUGAAGUUCAGAGAAGUGAAAUGACCCACAAGGUCACAGAUCUAGGAAGGGUCAGACUUUGAUUCCACAAGCUCUGCUUUUUCCACGGUUCCACACAGUUACCAUGGCUUCACACAUGCAAAAGCGCCAUCCUGCCACCUUCCUAUCAGGCACAGAUGAGCCCUCCACUGCGUGAAGGUUUCCAGUUUCCUUAGAUCCCUAGAGCAACCUGCCUUGAAGUCUUAGGACAGCAUGCUUUUAUUCAGUGUUUUUGCAGGAACACUUUCUUUGUCCAUAAACAAAGCCUUGAUAACCAAGAGAGUAGCACAGUAUUCUCCAUUGAGCUUUACCAUCCUAAAUUCCUAGGGGAAAAUGCCUCAAACAACGUCCCAGACUUCUCCCCACAGAGAUUCUUUUUACCCUGGUGAAGGCCUGGGAUUUUGCAUUACUCAUCCUAGUGGCCCAGGGCUGGGAGAUAUCGAUUUAACAUAUUAAAAGUGGUCAACUGUGAAUGAUGUGCCCUAUAAUUGUGGGUACCCUGAGUACUAUUUUUUCCGAAAACACAAACUAAAAGAGCUACCCUAGGUUCUUGGCUUCCUGAUUAUUUGUAAAAGAAUCAAGCUUCAGAGGAAAGGAUCUUCUCAACUUCAUUUUAGCACUUUUUCCAUAAGAAGACGUGGCCUGGGACAUCUGUAGUGCCUUUGGCAGACUCAUGCUUGCCCUUCUCUUGGAGAGGAACGGCUAGACCCUACAGUGACUUUAUGUUUAACCAUUUGAGGAACUCCCAGACUGUCUUCCGCAGUGGCUGCACCAUUUUAAAAUCCUACCACCAACAGUUUCAGUUGUCAGGCUGGCUUGGUGUUCGCCUACAGAGGUACCAAACAGUACGACUUUCAUCGUUAGAAGAAAAAGAAACUUGGGGGCGAGCAGCCGCCGCUGUACCCACAAUUCCUGCACCAAGACCACGUCCUGUGAGAAGCAGCUCAGACCCUGUGCAUUCGCAUUACAGUAAGUCACACACUACACACUCGGGAGAGAAGCAAGUGUCACCUACAUCCAAUGUUUAAUAGCCUGAUUUCAAAGCUUGGCCUGCCAUUUAUGUGUGUGACCUUGGGCAGUCGCUCGGAGCCUCCUGUCUAAAGCACGUCAUAACAGUGCCAGCAGCCAGUGGUCUGGUGGCUGUGGGCAGUGCAGUGGUGGACCCCUUAGCAGUAAUUUGAUGCGCUUACACUGACCCCAGGGUUGACCCUGGCAGAGUUCACACGAAACCUUUAACUAAACUUGGUACGUUUUCGCUCCAUUCUAUGGUACCCACCCCGCAGACGGGAACCUGGUUGACAGAGGUAAAUGCACAGCUGGAGGAUGAACUGCCCCCCCACCCAGUGCCAUUGCCAGGAAGGUGGUCUGUGACAGGGCUGGUUAACGUGUCAGUAGAGGCUCUUGGAGGGCACAGUGUGGCUAUCUUCCUUCCGUCCACUCCACUGCGGAGGGCUGAGAGGGCUCAGCAAUGCCGGGGACACUUGGGACUUAGAAGUAGAUUCCAGAUCUGUUUUAAGAUAACACUAAUCAGUGCCCUCCUUUGAUUACUGUUUCGUUUAUCUCGCCAAAAUAAAAUAACCUGGCUAAAGACAUGUAUUUAAGUACCUGCUCCUAUAUACUAAAUAAUAACAAUGAAAAAACCUACACUUCAAGACGAAAGAGAAAAGGCGUGUUCUGAAAGCGCAGAUUACUCAGGAGAGCAGCGGUACCUGUGAGCUGCUGAGCAUCAGCAGUAAGGAGAUGCAGUCCCAGCAUCUCAGCAGGCUCCCGGCAUCUUCGCUCUCUCUCAGAAGGCUGUACAGGGAAGGACCUGGAGAGUACCACAUGCGCUAGGCAUGCUGGAUUGAGGAGUUUGGAAGAAGAAAGGCAGAAAAUGCCGGAUUCUCCAAGAACAGCAAUUCCGCUGCGUCCAGGGGUCCCGUUGCCCAUCAGGCAUCAGUGAAGGGAAGACCAGCCGGAUGGCGUGUUCUCCUUGCCGAUGUUGUCUGAAAUAGUGGAAAUAAGUGCACCUCUGCUCUCCCCGCAGAAGGAAGGGGAGUGGGGUGGAGCCUCCUGUCCCUGGAAGCAGAGACGCAACCCACGCGACCCCAAGGAAGAAGCCCUCCGGGCCAUGUCUGUGACGUAAAACACGGGAUGUUGUCCCCAGUGCAAACAUGCUAGAAACACACCCCGUGGGGAGCUGUGCUACAGUGAGGUGCACCUGCCACCUCAUCCUGGUGUUCACAGUGUUUGGUGGCUUUCAGCCAAGAUGCCCUUAACUAGGAGCAGCCCUGGAAUCUGGCAUCUCCACAUCCACCCCAGAAGGAUGGCCUUUCUACCAUUCUGUGACAGGCUUUCUCUAAAAUAAGCAUCAAGUAAGCCCCGCCCCAAACCAGCCAUAUUGCCCUAUUCCACCGGCGUGAUAAUGAAUUGGCCCAAACAGACCUUCUCCCAACAAUCCAUUAUCACGCCGGUGGAAGACCUUCUCCUUACUCCCAGAGUAGGUCUGAGGAAUGUUUAAAGGUCCAAGAGACACAGACUGUCUGUCAGAUUUUGGCACAAGUGGUGACAGCGCAGGUCAGUAGGGACGAAAGAGUCACUAAAACUGAGAGAUGACAGGGCUAGAGACACUGUUUAAAACCACCACAGGCAGGGAGGGAGGGAGAGGGGAUGGUGGGUGGGGGCCAAGUCCCCCAAGGAAGCGGGUGGUCAGAGGGCCUGCACCCCACCCCAUAGGAGAUGAUAAUGUGGGGGGCUGUGCAGGGGAAGGCCUGCCAGGAGAAGGGGUGUCACCCAGAGCCCGCUGAGUGCAGGGCUUUCUCUCUGCUGACUUGCUCUAAGGCAGCCCAGGUAGAGCUAGUCCCGCCCAGGGUACCAAGCACAGCCAGGAAUAAACCAGAAAUCUGGAAGCCUGGCCUACCUCUGCCAGAAAUCUCAUAGCGGGCAACCUGAAAGCUCAGGAACAGUGCUUUCCUUCCAGUUAGUCUGUAAAUGGUGCCCUUUACAAGUGCCCUUUGAUGUGAUCUGUGGACAUUACAAGCGGGUUGAUGUCCUGGCCUUCCCAGCUUUGUUCUCUGCAGCUCACCUGUAUAGGCUCACUGGUUCAGCUCAAACACCCAGGAAGAUGGGCCCUUCUCUCUACUCAAGCCUGUGAAAUCAGGCCUUUAAGUAUAUUUGAAUUUUGAUAUUUAUGACAACAGUAUAAGCUUAUGAUUAUGAGAGGAAAACCAGUGUGAUUGUCACUGAGCAAUUCAGUAAAAUGAUUCUUUUUUUGGCCACAACCACGGCACGCAAAAAUUCUGGGUCUUGGAUCGAACCUUUGCCACAGCAGUGACAACACCCAAUCCUUAACUGCUAGGCCACCAGAGAACUCCCAAUAGAACAACUCCAGAUGUGAAAAGCGUUCCCAACUGACAAGGAGCAGGGCCACUUAGAAAAGGAGAAAAAUGCUCACAGUCCCCAAAUCAGUUCUGUAUAUAGGCUGUGUUUUACUUUUAACAAUAUACCAGGAGUUCCUCCUGUGGUUCAGCAGUAACAAGCCCAACUGGGAUCCAUGAGGACUUGGGUUCAAUCCCUGGACUCGCUCAGUGAGUUAAGGAUCCAGCGUUGCCGUGAGCUGUGGCAUAGGUCACAGAUGCAGCUCAGAUCCUGCAUUGCUGUGGAUGUGAUGGAGGCUGGCAAGUGCAGCUCCUAUUGGACCCCUAGCCUGGGAACUUCCAUAUGCCGUGGGUGCAGCCUUAAAAAGCAAAAAACAAAACAAAACAAAACAAUACACCAAAAAAUAUUUUCCUGCUUUGGGAAGGUCUUCUUUAAUGAUGCUGAGAAGGAGAAUAAUAUAAUCUACAACUUAAAUUAAGAAGUUAGAGCAAUUAAGCUUCAUCUAGUGAAAGCCAAGCAUGUCUUUGCAAUAAAGAGGUAGCUAAGCACAGGAGAUACUUCGGUGGACAUAAAGGUCUUAACCUAGCUACGUAUCUUAAUUAUUUUUCUGAUGGAUCUAGGAAUUUUUCUUUUAAUAUGCCUGGUUCCUAGUAAAAAUAAAUAAGUUGGCUGGCCUGCAAGAUGGCUUUUUUUAAUCAGAAUGGACAAAGUCUUGUGCUUUGUGCUGUGUGCUUAAACAUAAUGAUAGAUAUUCAAAGUUCAAAUUCUCAGUGGAUCUCUGGACCGAAAGUUUUGUAAGAAAUCAAGGAAGAAGGACCACCACGCGCUAUAUCUAUUUCCUCUUGAAAAACAAUUUCUAGAUAUUGCCAGAGACCAAAGUUGUGAGUCAAAAUGUUUCUGUCGGUUUCCAUGUGGACACGGCCUGGUGCCCAUCACACCACACACGCUACCUGGAACUCAGACCUGGAAACUUGAAGAAUUGUCUGGAUUCCCUGGCAACAGGGCCUCAGGCAUCUCCUAGCCAGUGGGUCCUACGAAAGAGAUAAGCCACUUCAGCAAACUUGUCUCUCUCUAGCACUGGAAUGCAUCCAAAGGAAACACGAAAGACUCUGACAUCAGAAAACACCUGUUGACUUUGGAGCGCCCGUAUCAACAGCAGUAAAACACAGAGCAGAUGUGAGCCUGCUCUGGGGGGGUACGUGGAAUGUCAAGUAUGAAAAAAAUCAAGAGGAAAGGGAUAGGCACUUCCAAAUUCUUCUGCCUCUCUGUAAACAUGCCAUUAAUUAGGUUAAUUUUCUUAAAAUGUGGCCUCAAAAACCAUUCUAAGGUGGUCGCUUCAGGUUUCCAUUCCUAUAAAUCAAAGUCUGGUGAUAGAUAGUUUAAACGAUCAAUAGGUGUAUAAACUCAACUCUAACUUUGGCCUGAAAUGUUCAUAGUAACUAUCCGUUCCUUUUAAAAAUUUCUUUACAAUUAAUGUAUAGUUGAUUUAAAAUGUUGUGCCGGUUUCUUUGGGAGUUCCCAUUGGGCUCAGCGGUAAUGAAUCUGACUAGUAUCCCUGAGGAUGCAGGUCCCACUCCUGGCCUCAGUCAGUGGGUUAAGGAUCCUAUGUUGCUGUGGCUGUGGCUUUUGCUCCUAUUCAACGCCUAGCCUGGGAACUUCCAUAUGCUCUACCUGCAGCCCUAAAAAACAAAAAAUAAAAACAAAAA
RNAcentral lists this long non-coding RNA (5273 nucleotides) under Sus scrofa (pig). Its description in RNAcentral is "lncRNA (ENSSSCG00015053736.1)". The record is from RNAcentral. Lineage: Eukaryota; Metazoa; Chordata; Mammalia; Artiodactyla; Suidae.